AACGAACGCUGGCGGCAUGCCUAACACAUGCAAGUCGAACGAGACCUUCGGGACUGGUUGCGCUCAGGUGCGUCACGCGUCGGAACCUGCCCUUAGACUCGGAAUACCUCUCCGACAUGGGUGCUAAUACCGGAAAAUGUCUUCGGACCAAAGAUUUGUCGUCUUUGGUUGAGCCGGCGUUGUUUUAGCUUGUUGGGAGUGUAAGAGCCUACCACGGCGACGCUCCAUAGCUGGUCUGAGAGGAUGGUCAGCCACACUGGGACUGAGACACGGCCCAGACUCUUACGGGAGGGAGCAGUGGGGAAUACAGGAAAAUGGGGGAAAGCCUGAUGGAGUAAGGGCGGGUGAGUCAUGAAGUUGUGAGGGUAGUAAAGCUCUUUUAUCCGGGACGAUAAUGACAGUACCGGGAGAAUAAGCUCCGGCUAACUUCGUG
This 433-nucleotide ribosomal RNA is filed under the name uncultured bacterium. Its description in RNAcentral is "partial 16S ribosomal RNA". It matches the Rfam family "Bacterial small subunit ribosomal RNA", at positions 29 to 507 of the family's 1533-position model. The record is from RNAcentral.